AUUGAACGCUGGCGGCAGGCCUAACACAUGCAAGUCGAGCGGAUGAAGGGAGCUUGCUCCUGGAUUCAGCGGCGGACGGGUGAGUAAUGCCUAGGAAUCUGCCUGGUAGUGGGGGAUAACGUCCGGAAACGGGCGCUAAUACCGCAUACGUCCUGAGGGAGAAAGUGGGGGAUCUUCGGACCUCACGCUAUCAGAUGAGCCUAGGUCGGAUUAGCUAGUUGGUGGGGUAAAGGCCUACCAAGGUGACGAUCCGUAACUGGUCUGAGAGGAUGAUCAGUCACACUGGAACUGAGACACGGUCCAGACUCCUACGGGAGGCAGCAGUGGGGAAUAUUGGACAAUGGGCGAAAGCCUGAUCCAGCCAUGCCGCGUGUGUGAAGAAGGUCUUCGGAUUGUAAAGCACUUUAAGUUGGGAGGAAGGGCAGUAAGUUAAUACCUUGCUGUUUUGACGUUACCAACAGAAUAAGCACCGGCUAACUUCG
RNAcentral lists this ribosomal RNA (482 nucleotides) under uncultured bacterium. Its description in RNAcentral is "partial 16S ribosomal RNA". It matches the Rfam family "Bacterial small subunit ribosomal RNA", at positions 30 to 505 of the family's 1533-position model. The record is from RNAcentral.